UACGCAGGGUGCGAGCGUUAAUCGGAAUUACUGGGCGUAAAGCGUGCGCAGGCGGUUCGUCGUGUCCGAUGUGAAAGCCCCGGGCUCAACCUGGGAAUGGCAUUGGAAACUGGCGGACUCGAGUGUGGCAGAGGGGGGUGGAAUUCCGCGUGUAGCAGUGAAAUGCGUAGAGAUGCGGAGGAACACCGAUGGCGAAGGCAGCCCCCUGGGUUAACACUGACGCUCAGGCACGAAAGCGUGGGGAGCAAACAGG
RNAcentral lists this ribosomal RNA (253 nucleotides) under uncultured bacterium. RNAcentral describes it as "partial 16S ribosomal RNA". It matches the Rfam family "Bacterial small subunit ribosomal RNA", at positions 524 to 776 of the family's 1533-position model. The record is from RNAcentral.